GCCCAGAUGGCUCAGUCAGUAGAGCACAAGACUUUUAAUCUAAUGGUCCAGGGUUCAAGUCCUUGUUUGGGCA
RNAcentral lists this transfer RNA (73 nucleotides) under Danionella translucida. It matches the Rfam family "tRNA". From Rfam's summary of the family: Transfer RNA (tRNA) molecules are approximately 80 nucleotides in length. Their secondary structure includes four short double-helical elements and three loops (D, anti-codon, and T loops). RNAcentral also lists the same sequence under 1 other name. The record is from Rfam by way of RNAcentral. Lineage: Eukaryota; Metazoa; Chordata; Actinopteri; Cypriniformes; Danionidae.